AAUAUUGUGUUUUUCCGACGAUAAGUUAGAAGAAAAUGAACAGACGAAUAAAGGAUAUGGAGACCUUACAGUUGAUGAUUUUAAUUCACCCAGAAAAGCCUUAGAUACUUAAUAAUGUCUAAUUCACACACACUUAUAAUGGUUGGCAUGAGCUGUGAAAAGAUAUAUUAUAUUGAAGAUGUAGGCUGUUAAUAAAUUUGUGGUGUCCUACAUAUGCAUACAUACAAAGUUUACUGGUCGUCAAAUACGUUCCCAUUCAUGGAAUUUACUUCUCAACAAGAAAAGACAAACUUCUUUGGAAGAAGGCUAAGCAAACACCAAUUACCUUCAAUUGAACUCUGAAUCAUCUUUUUGAAUAAAACUAUA
This is a long non-coding RNA of Metopolophium dirhodum (rose-grain aphid), 366 nucleotides long. RefSeq lists it as uncharacterized. NCBI's taxonomy places the organism in Eukaryota, Metazoa, Arthropoda, Insecta, Hemiptera, Aphididae. The transcript has 3 exons. The record is from RefSeq and is a predicted model, not a curated record.